Eriocheir sinensis (Chinese mitten crab) is the source of this 1761-nucleotide long non-coding RNA. RefSeq lists it as uncharacterized. The transcript has 4 exons. Lineage: Eukaryota; Metazoa; Arthropoda; Malacostraca; Decapoda; Varunidae. The record is from RefSeq and is a predicted model, not a curated record.
GGUUUGUAUUAUGUGUGAGGAAAGGUUGAUAAAGUUAGUUAAGUUAGGCAAGGUUUGUAUUAUGUGUGAGGAAAGGUUGAUAAAGUUAGUUAAGUUAGGCAAGGUUUGUAUUAUGUGUGAGGAAAGGUUGAUAAAGUUAGUUAAGUUAGGCAAGGUUUGUAUUAUGUGUGAGGAAAGGUUGAUAAAGUUAGUUAAGUUAGGCAAGGUUUGUAUUAUGUGUGAGGAAAGGUUGAUAAAGUUAGUUAAGUUAGGCAAGGUUUGUAUUAUUUGUGAGGAAAGGUUGAUAAAGUUAGUUAAGUUAGGCAAGGUUUGUAUUAUGUGUAAGGAAAGGUUGAUAAAGUUAGUUAAGUUAGGCAAGGUUUGUAUUAUUUGUGAGGAAAGGUUGAUAAAGUUAGUUAAGUUAGGCAAGGUUUGUAUUAUUUGUGAGGAAAGGUUGAUAAAGUUAGUUAAGUUAGGCAAGGUUUGUAUUAUGUGUGAGGAAAGGUUGAUAUAGUUAGUUCAUAAAGUUCGGUACCGUAAGAAAUAUUGAUUGCAUUUUUGUUUCCCUUACGGUAAGAAACAUAGAUUAAAUUAGUGAUGGUCUUGAGGCGCUUUCACAGUCCAACACAGUGGCUUGUAGUCGCCCGAACCAAACUUUUCAAUCUCCUACACUCCACAAUGGUCAGAUUUUCGAUGCAAGACCAGUAGACACAAGAGCUUCUCCGUAUAGUUUCCUCAAAAUUAUUAAUAUCUUACCUUAAAUAUAAAGACCAAACUGUACACAAGGAAUUUUCGAAGUCUUUGGUAUUGGUUUGGAAGAAGUUUGGCAGAUUUUCGAUGCAAGACCAGAUACACACAAGAGCUUUCCGGUAUAGUUUCCUCAAAUUUCUUAACUUAAAUAUCAAGACCAAACUAUUUACAAGGCAUUUUCAAAGUCUAUGGUAUUGGUUUGGAAGAAGUUUGGAAGAUUUUCGAUGCAAGACCAGUAUACACAAGAGCUUUUCCGUACUAUAGUUUCCUCGAAUUUCUUACCUUGAAUAUGAAGACCAAACUAUUUACGAGGGAUUUUCAAAGUCUUUGGUAUUGGUUUGGAAGAAGUUUGGAAGAUUUUCGAUGCAAGACCAGUAUACACAAGAGCUUUUCCGUAUAGAUAUAGAGAUGCAACAUAGGAAGGGUGAAAAAUAGAAAGGAAAGAAGGAUAAUGAAGACGAAACUGUACAUAGGUAAUUUUCGAAGUCUUUGUUAAUGGUUUGGAAGAUUACUAACCCAUCAUGUCGAACUGUGAAAGUAGCCCCUUGUCUCAUUUGGUCGUGGUGGUGAUAGAUUCUGUUUUUAUACAUAUAUAUUUUUUUACAUAUGUUUUUUAUUAGUCUAUAUCUUACCGUAAAAUGAUAAAAAAAGACAUUAAACUAGUGGCGAUGAUGAUAUAGUCUAUUCACAUAAGUCCGACCCAAGCUGACAACAUAAACCUAUAAGCGUGUUUGCAAGCUGAGUGCUGAUUGGCUACUGCUAUGGCUUCCAAGUGUGUUUUAACCUCUGUUUGUGUUAUCUCACGCAUCACCUUCUGCUAAUCUGCACUGUGCUUACGAACACGCUUAGGUUUAUGUUGUCAGCUUGGGUCAGACUUAAGUGAACAGAUUAUAGUGAUCGAUACCGGAUCUUGAUUUGGUUUAUAUGUGUGUUGGUGGAUGGCGGUGAUGCUGGUGUUGGUGACGGUGGCUGUACGCGCUGAGCCACCCCCCUUCUGCAUAAUUUCAAAGUGAUCGUAAUGGCGUUAGUGGU